UAAGGGCUCACCAAGGCGACGAUCCCUAGCUGGUCUGAGAGGAUGAUCAGCCACACUGGAACUGAGACACGGUCCAGACUCCUACGGGAGGCAGCAGUGGGGAAUAUUGCACAAUGGGCGCAAGCCUGAUGCAGCCAUGCCGCGUGUAUGAAGAAGGCCUUCGGGUUGUAAAGUACUUUCAGCAGUGAGGAAGGUGGUGUAGUUAAUAGCAUCAUCAUUUGACGUUAGCUGCAGAAGAAGCACCGGCUAACUCCGUGCCAGCAGCCGCGGUAAUACGGAGGGUGCGAGCGUUAAUCGGAAUUACUGGGCGUAAAGCGCAUGCAGGUGGUUUGUUAAGUCAGAUGUGAAAGCCCGGGGCUCAACCUCGGAAUUGCAUUUGAAACUGGCAGACUAGAGUACUGUAGAGGGGGUAGAAAUUUCAGGUGU
Molecule: ribosomal RNA, 426 nt
Filed under: Vibrio sinaloensis
Lineage: Bacteria; Pseudomonadati; Pseudomonadota; Gammaproteobacteria; Vibrionales; Vibrionaceae
Description: bacterial SSU rRNA
Rfam family: Bacterial small subunit ribosomal RNA
Source: RNAcentral